Podarcis lilfordi (Lilford's wall lizard) is the source of this 1459-nucleotide non-coding RNA. The record is from the annotation of a GenBank genome assembly. Lineage: Eukaryota; Metazoa; Chordata; Lepidosauria; Squamata; Lacertidae.
UGUUAUUCCUGACUGUCGUUUUUAACUGUUUUCUGUUCUUCUCUCUGUGUGUGUCAGGAGAAUGGCCGUUGAAAGAGGUUUCUCUGGAUACUGCUGAGGACGGUGUGUACUGAUGUGUUCUGUCUGGGGUGAAGCAGACAGAGGAAGAUCCUUAAAUGUUAAUAGGGAGAAAUCCGAGCAUGACAUUGUACACUCAUGCACCCCCACACACCCCCACACACGGGACCACACUGUUGCUCUCUAUACUAGGACAUGAGAACAGGGUGGGUGUGUCUGUGUGCAUGUAUAAAGCCAAAAGUUUCACAGAAAAGAUGACAUUUGAGGAGGGAUUUGAAGGAAGUAAGAGAAGUCUUGGAUACUUUAGUUGAAGUUCCUGUACCGCAGGGGGUUGGACUAGAUGGCUCUUCCAACUUUAUAAUUCUAUAAGUGGCAUUUCUUUGCAGCCAGUAGCAAUUUAUUGACUUCUGCACCCAUUGCAGGAACAGCAGAGUAUGGGGUUUUUCUUUUCUUGAUUUUACAAGCACGCCUCUCUCCCACACAUAGGUUUCUGCCCGCGAGGAGGUUAUAUUCUAAGUUUUGAUAGCAAGAAAGAUACAGAGGAAGGGGAGGGGGUGAGUGAUGAAUAAUGAGCACCACCUUUCACGAACGCAUCUCCGUUUCCCCCGAGAAGCAGGCUUAUCACAACAUACAUCUCCUGACCAUAAGGUAGGUCUAAUCUUCAGCUGAUUAAAUGCAAUUCCUCAAGGUUCCUACAAGGCAUGUGCUUAAUGUCUUCAGUGCAUUUAAGCAAUUUGCAGAAUACAAAGUUCACACACUUGGCAUUAUCGCCAAUACAUCACCCGCCUCCAGACGCUUUGCUAUCGCCAAAGGGAUAUAUCAGGAAAGGUUAACAGAGACGCUAACUAACUUGAAAGAGAGCGAAACCGUGACAGUGUGCUGAGGAAACAGCCAAGGAGGUUAUCCAGGAGUCAGAGAUUGCUGCGAGAACAUCCAGGGACUUGUGGCUGCAGUCGCCCUGCUUUUCUUGCCCUGAUUUAUUAGGAUCAAUGGGAUUACCCAUCCCUGAACACAUUCAGCCUGGCCAAUAAACACCGUGGAGGUUCACAAUGGGAGGUGAGGGGAUGGGAGCAGGAAAUAGUUAAUCCAUGUGUAGCAGGAAGUUGACCAGAAAGGCCAUUUGGGGGUUCCAGAAUUUGGGGGGUUGGGAAGGCUAUUUUUACAUUCAUCUCAUUAACUUCCUUUAUAAAGCUGUAUGUGGAAAAUUGUAAUCGUUUCUGCAAUCCAGCCGAAAUGUGUGAAGCAUUUGCCAAAACUUUUUAUCUUCCUUUGACUGAUUUCUUUUAAACCGCCCCCCUUUGAAUUUCUUCAGUCAUCAUACUUUGCAAAUGUUUCCGCUGGAUACGCCUUUCCUUAUAGCUUGGGUCCAGUAUCUAUCAGCUCUCUGCAACCCCAGUCUCAG